Molecule: unclassified non-coding RNA, 291 nt
Filed under: Hevea brasiliensis (rubber tree)
Lineage: Eukaryota; Viridiplantae; Streptophyta; Magnoliopsida; Malpighiales; Euphorbiaceae
Source: RNAcentral
GUGAGGACCAUUUCUGGGAUUCAGGCCCUUCGAAGUGCAUACGAUAUAUCUUCCAACAGUAAUUCCAAAUGGGAGAAUCUGUUGGUAUUGUUUCUUAUGGCAAUUGCAUAUCGUAUACUAGUGCUUCUUGUACUGCAUUUUCGUGUUGGAAAGAAUGAAUCAGUACUUAAGUUUUGCCGGUGUAAUCAGGAUACAAACAAUCCAAGAUGAAUGGAAUUUGCCCUGCCAGUCAUAUUUAUGUUCUGGCCUCUUGUUUCAGUUAGAAACUAAUGAUGAAAUAUAGAAAUGCAG